CGAACGCUGGCGGCGCGCCUAACACAUGCAAGUCGAACGAGCGAGAAGGGCUUGCUUUCUCGAGCGAGUGGCGAACGGGUGAGUAACGCGUGAGGAACCUGCCUCAAAGAGGGGGACAACAGUUGGAAACGACUGCUAAUACCGCAUAAGCCCACGGGUCGGCAUCGACCAGAGGGAAAAGGAGCAAUCCGCUUUGAGAUGGCCUCGCGUCCGAUUAGCUAGUUGGUGAGGUAAUGGCCCACCAAGGCAACGAUCGGUAGCCGGACUGAGAGGUUGAACGGCCACAUUGGGACUGAGACACGGCCCAGACUCCUACGGGAGGCAGCAGUGGGGAAUAUUGCACAAUGGGGGAAACCCUGAUGCAGCGACGCCGCGUGGAGGAAGAAGGUCUUCGGAUUGUAAACUCCUGUUGUUGGGGAAGAUAAUGACGGUACCCAACAAGGAAGUGACGGCUAACUACGUGCCAGCAGCCGCGGUAAAACGUAGGUCACAAGCGUUGUCCGGAAUUACUGGGUGUAAAGGGAGCGCAGGCGGGAAGACAAGUUGGAAGUGAAAUCUAUGGGCUCAACCCAUAAACUGCUUUCAAAACUGUUUUUCUUGAGUAGUGCAGAGGUAGGCGGAAUUCCCGGUGUAGCGGUGGAAUGCGUAGAUAUCGGGAGGAACACCAGUGGCGAAGGCGGCCUACUGGGCAC
RNAcentral lists this ribosomal RNA (692 nucleotides) under uncultured Lachnospiraceae bacterium. Its description in RNAcentral is "bacterial SSU rRNA". It matches the Rfam family "Bacterial small subunit ribosomal RNA", at positions 30 to 736 of the family's 1533-position model. Lineage: Bacteria; Bacillati; Bacillota; Clostridia; Lachnospirales; Lachnospiraceae. The record is from RNAcentral.